UCCUGCGUCUUUGAUGAUCUUCUGUACAGCAAGAAACACUUAGGCUUGGAGAGAGGAGCUCAGGGCUUGGUACAGAAGGAGAACCAUACCUCUGGCCCCUUUCAGGGGUGGGGGUUCUGCAGUGAAGUGGUGUGCGGUGAAGUGGGGCCUUGUCCCACUUACUCGUUCCCUACCCUGUGGAUUUAGCAUCUUCUGUGGAUGAUUAGGAAAUGAUGACUGAAUGAAUGAGCCCAGAUUAGCAAACUGGAGCUUUGCACUGCAAACUUCGGUGGAUCUGUGAUACAAAGAGAUACAAGUGGCAUUUGACUUAAAACUUGUUCUCAGUGUGGUCAGGAAUCCAGGAGCAGCUCAGCUGGUGGUUCUGAGGAGUCUGGGUCUCUCAUGAGGCUGCAAUCCAGGAGCAAGACUCCGGGUCCAGGCCACGCUGCAGGGCAGGAGAUCGUCCACGAGCAUGGAGAGCAAGAAGCCGCAAUCAUCCCAAAUGCUGCCUGUCUGGAUAGUUACACGAUGGUCUGUGAAUUUCCAAUUUGAGCAGAGUUGCCAGAGAAAAUACAGGAAGCCCAACUAAAUUUUAAUUUCAGAGUCUUGGACAGAGGCAUGUUGGUGGGUGGAGCCUUCUGUGUCCUUUCCUUUAAGGGGGCCAGCAUUCAAGAAUCCUAGCUUUUCACAGAGACCUCAGUUCCAGCUUUUUCCAAAACCUCAUCUGCUGUCUUCACCUGGUGUUAACAAAGGCUGUGGCUGUGGGGUGUGUUUCUGGGUCGGGUAACUCCCUGCUCCCACCCGGCGACUGCACCUGUGAAUCACACUAUAUUGCUCUGUCUUUGGUUCCCUUUGUUUCUAGCAUCUGGGGGGCUCUUGUUAGUCAAUUUAAUUUUGCAUUUUAAAUAAACUUUGUCAUAUUUUAUCCAACAUUUUUAGAUAUGUGUAGCUGGAAGCAUUUCACAUUAGUUGACUCUGCCACAUACCCACUCUUGGAAGCCUAGUCUCUGGGGUUUAUUUAAAGCAAGAUAACUAGCUCCCCCGGAUGUUAGCUCACUGUCAAUGUCGGGUUCAGUGUCAAUCAUGCAGAAAAGGUCCUGUUUUUCUUGUGUGAUAUCUUAUUAUAGUUUAUAGAUCAGUUAAGUUCUUGUACUUUAGUAGAUUCCUCAAAAUGCGGUUCCAAUAUUGAAAUAAUUGCAUGUCAUUCUGUCUCCAUU
Molecule: long non-coding RNA, 1196 nt
Organism: Manis pentadactyla (Chinese pangolin)
Lineage: Eukaryota; Metazoa; Chordata; Mammalia; Pholidota; Manidae
Exons: 5
Source: RefSeq, a predicted model, not a curated record